This 425-nucleotide ribosomal RNA is filed under the name uncultured bacterium. RNAcentral describes it as "bacterial SSU rRNA". It matches the Rfam family "Bacterial small subunit ribosomal RNA", at positions 354 to 796 of the family's 1533-position model. The record is from RNAcentral.
GUGGGGAAUCUUGCACAAUGGGCGAAAGCCUGAUGCAGCCAUGCCGCGUGAGUGAUGAAGGCCUUCGGGUUGUAAAGCUCUUUAGCCGAUGAUUAUAAUGACUGUAGUCGGAAAAUAAGCCCCGGCUAACUUCGUGCCAGCAGCCGCGGUAAUACGAAGGGGGCGAGCGUUAUUCGGAAUCACUGGGCGUAAAGCGUGCGUAGGCGGCUUUGCAAGUUGGGAGUGAAAGCCCAGGGCUCAACCCUGGAAUUGCUCUCAAAACUGCAAGGCUCGAAUUCGGGAGAGGAUAGCGGAAUUGUCAGUGUAGCAGUGAAAUGCGUAGAUAUUGACAGGAACACCAGUGGCGUAAGCGGCUAUCUGGACCGAUAUUGACGCUGAGGCACGAAAGCGUGGGGAUCAAACAGGAUUAGAAACCCCAGUAGUCC